GUGCAAGUUAGUAAGGGUCCGGGGUGGAUGCCUCGGCUGCCUGAGGGGACGAAGGGCGUGUUAAGCUGCGAUAAGCCGGGUGGAGGCGCAAAAAGCCUGUGAGGCCCGGAUGCCCGAAUGGGGAAACCCGGCAGGGUGUUGAGCCCUGUCAUCCGCCGAUUAGGCGGAGCCUAACGGGACGAAGUAAAACCUUCUAGUAGUCCCAGGAAAGGAAAUCAAACGAGACUCCCCAAGUAGCGGCGAGCGAAAGGGGACCAGCCCAAACUCUGCGGGUGCCAUGGUGGCAGCCUUAGCUCGCAGAGGGUUGCGGGACGCAUCCGGAGAGGUCUGCCAGCCUCUCAGGGAGUUACAAAACUUCCGCUUAGCCGAAGUGAGCUGGAAUGCUCCGCCACAGAGGGUGAAAGCCCCGUAGGCUAAAGGUGAGAAGUCUCCCGGGGAUGCGAUCCCAAGUACCACGGCCCCCGUGGAAGGUCGUGGGAAUCAGGGGGGACCUCCCUCCAAGGCUAAGUACUACAGGCAGACCGAUAGCGCAUAGUACCGCGAGGGAAAGGUGAAAAGAACCCCGGAAGGGGAGUGAAAUAGAACCUGAAACCCCGGAUCCACAAGCCAGUGGAAGGGUCUUUAUGGCCCGACUGCGUGCCUUUUGCAGAAUGAGCCAGGGAGUUGUCCUCAGCGGCGAGGUUAAGCCGUAAGGCGAAGCCGUAGCGAAAGCGAGUCCGAACAGGGCGCUUUAGUCGCUGGGGGCAGACGCGAAGCGGAACGAUCUACCCAUGCCCAGGGUGAAGGACGGGUAAUGCCGUCUGGAGGCCCGAACGGGUCGGUGCUGCAAAACCGUCCGAUGAGGUGUGGGUAGCGGUGAAAAGCCAAUCGCGUUCCGUGAUAGCUCGUUCUCCCCGAAAUAGGUCGACGCCUAGCGUCGCUCGUUUCUUCCCGGAGGUAGAGCCACUGGUUGGGCUAGGGCCUCGAAAGGGGUACCGAACCCUGCCAAACUCCGAAUGCCGGGAAAGAUAGAGCGGCAGUCAGUCCCCGGGGGAUAAGCUCCGGUGGACAAGAGGGAAACAGCCCAGACCGCCAGCUAAGGUCCCAAAAUCCGGGCUAAGUGGGGAAGGAUGUGCGGCUGCUAAGACAGCUGGGAGGUUGGCUUAGAGGCAGCCAUCCUUUAAACAGUGCGUAACAGCUGACCGGCCGAGCGGCCGUGCGCCGAAAAUUUAGCGGGGCUAAAGCCCGGUACCGAAGCUGCGGGCUCGCGCAAGCGAGCGGUAGGGGAGCGUUCCCUGUGGGUUGAAGUCUCACCGUGAGGUGGGAUGGACUGCAGGGAAGUGAGAAUCCUGGCAUGAGUAGCAGCGAAGACAGGUGAGAAACCUGUCCGCCGGAAGCCUCAGGUUUUGGCGGCAAUGUAAAUCAGCCGCCAGUUAGCCGGGACCCUAAGGUGAGGCCGAAAGGCGUAGCCGAUGGGAAGCGGGUCAACAUUCCCGCGCCAGCGGUGUGGAGCCAGAGUCGUGACGCAGGAGGCUAGGGAGAGCCACCUAUGGAAUGGUGGUCCAAGGUAGUAGGAGGGGGUGGCAGGCAAAUCCGUCACCCCAUACUCCGAGAGCUGAUGGGGUAACUCUCCUGACGCCACACUGCCAAGAAACAACGGCGCUGGUGUUGAAGCACCGCUGCCCGUACCGGAAACCGACACAGGUAGGCUGGGUUAGUAGCCUAAGGCGUCGGGGGAACUCUCCUCAAGGAACUCGGCAAAUUGCCUCCGUACCCUCGGUAGAAGGGGGGCCCGUGGGAGUGAAGCCCUGCGGCAUAAGCUCUUGCGGGUCGCAGAGACCGGGCGGUGCCGACUGUUUAUCAAAAACACAGGACUACGCAAACCCGAAAGGGGAUGUAUGUGGUCUGAAGCCUGGCCAGUGCCCGUAGGUUAAGGGGAAGGGUGCAAGCCCUGAACCGAAGCCCGGGUAAACGCCGGCCGUAACUAUGACGGUCCUAAGGUAGCGAAAUUCCUUGUCGGGUAAGUUCCGACCUGCAUGAAUGGCCCAACGAGUGCCGCGCUGUCUCGAGGAGAGUCCCGGCGAAAUUGUAAUGCCGGUCAAGAUGCCGGCUACCCGCGGCAGGACGGAAAGACCCCGUGAAGCUUCACUGUAGUCUGGUACUGAGUCUUAGCCUGUCCUGCGCAGGAUAGGUGGGAGCCUGUGAAGUCCCUCCUCCGGGAGGGAUGGAGGCGCCGGUGAGAUACCACCCUGGACAGGCUGAGACCCUAACCGAGCCGAGUUAACCUCGGCCGGGACCGUGCCAGAUGGGCAGUUUAGCUGGGGCGGCUGCCUCCUAAAAGGUAACGGAGGCGUCCAAAGGUACCCUCAGGCGGGUCGGAAAUCCGCCGUAGAGUACAAGGGCAGAAGGGUGCCUGACUGUGAGGCAGACAUGCCGAGCAGAGGCGAAAGCCGGGCCUAGUGACCCACCGGUUCCUCGGGGAAGGGCCGGUGAUCAGCGGAUAAAAGCUACUCCGGGGAUAACAGGCUAAUCUCCCCCGAGAGCCCACAUCGACGGGGAGGUUUGGUACCUCGAUGUCGGCUCCCCCCAUCCUGGGGCUGAAGCAGGUCCCAAGGGUUGGGCUGUUCGCCCAUUAAAGGGGGACGCGAGCUGGGUUCAGAACGUCGCGAGACAGUUCGGUCCCUAUCCGCCGCGGGCGCAGGAGUCUUGAGGGGGUCCGUCCUUAGUACGAGAGGACCGGGACGGGGCAGGCUCUGGUGUACCGGUUAUCUCUCCAGAGGUAGCGCCGGGUAGCCAUCCUGCUACGGGAUAAGCGCUGAAAGCAUCUAAGCGCGAAGCCCACCCCAAGAUAAGGACUCCCUGAAGGGCCCUGGAAGACUACCAGGUUGAUAGGCAGCAGGUGGAAGCUCCGUAAGGGGUGUAGCCGAGCUGUACUAAUAGCCCGUUCGACUUGCACACC
This 2938-nucleotide ribosomal RNA is filed under the name Hydrogenobacter thermophilus TK-6. RNAcentral's name for it is "bacterial LSU rRNA". It matches the Rfam family "Bacterial large subunit ribosomal RNA". Lineage: Bacteria; Pseudomonadati; Aquificota; Aquificia; Aquificales; Aquificaceae. The record is from RNAcentral.